Small nuclear RNA from Callithrix jacchus (white-tufted-ear marmoset), 103 nucleotides. The record is from Ensembl. Lineage: Eukaryota; Metazoa; Chordata; Mammalia; Primates; Cebidae.
GCACUCCUCUUGGUGGCACAUAUGCAAAAAUAGGAAAGAUACAGAGAUGAGCAUGGCCCUAUGCAAGGAUGACACGCAAAUUUACAAAUUGUUUUAUACUUUU